CUGUACGUUAAGCCAUGGAAUUAUUAAAUGCACGUGUAUUCCCUUAUAUUUGUUUUUAGUGUUUUUUUUAUUUACGACUUUUUUUUAUCUGCAAUCAUGUCGGCAGAUGAAAUUAUUAAACGUACAAUUCUGAAAAAUCAUCUUUUGCAGUUCUUAUAAGUCUUUGAGUCUUUGAGUCUUUGUUUACUCCUUGGCUUUAAAUUGUUAUUGUCUUAUAAACUAUUGGCCUUCAACUAUUCGUCUUUUGGUCGUUCAUGAGGAAAUAGAAUCCACAAAUGCACUUCUGAGUCACGGUUGAGUUCAAUAUCGUAGCUGCUAUGUAGUGCUACGUAGAUUUGACGAUUGAACAUGUAGCUAUAGACAAGUUGUUACAUAGAUAUUGAUAACGGCUACGUAGCUGCUACGAUUUUGAACUCAACCCAGGAUUUUAUAACGUGUUAUCGUUAUCUUUUAUCGAUU
Molecule: long non-coding RNA, 459 nt
Filed under: Mytilus galloprovincialis (Mediterranean mussel)
Lineage: Eukaryota; Metazoa; Mollusca; Bivalvia; Mytilida; Mytilidae
Source: RNAcentral